This 396-nucleotide ribosomal RNA is filed under the name uncultured bacterium. RNAcentral describes it as "bacterial SSU rRNA". It matches the Rfam family "Bacterial small subunit ribosomal RNA", at positions 505 to 898 of the family's 1533-position model. The record is from RNAcentral.
GUGCCAGCAGCCGCGGUAAUACGUAGGGUCCGAGCGUUGUCCGGAAUUAUUGGGCGUAAAGGGCUUGUAGGCGGUUUGCUGCGUCGGAAGUGAAAACUCAGGGCUUAACCCUGAGCCUGCUUCCGAUACGGGCAAACUAGAGGGAUGCAGGGGAGAAUGGAAUUCCUGGUGGAGCGGUGGAAUGCGCAGAUAUCAGGAGGAACACCGGUGGCGAAGGCGGUUCUCUGGGCAUUUCCUGACGCUGAGAAGCGAAAGCGUGGGGAGCAAACAGGCUUAGAUACCCUGGUAGUCCACGCCGUAAACGGUGGGCACUAGGUGUGGGGAACAUUCCACGUUCUCCGUGCCGAAGCUAACGCAUUAAGUGCCCCGCCUGGGGAGUACGGCCGCAAGGCUAAA